CACUCCUGCGGGAGGCAGCAGUGGGGAAUAUUGCACAAUGGGCGCAAGCCUGAUGCAGCCAUGCCGCGUGUAUGAAGAAGGCCUUCGGGUUGUAAAGUACUUUCAGCGGGGAGGAAGGCGAUAAGGUUAAUAACCUUGUUGAUUGACGUUACCCGCAGAAGAAGCACCGGCUAACUCCGUGCCAGCAGCCGCGGUAAUACGGAGGGUGCAAGCGUUAAUCGGAAUUACUGGGCGUAAAGCGCACGCAGGCGGUCUGUCAAGUCGGAUGUGAAAUCCCCGGGCUCAACCUGGGAACUGCAUUCGAAACUGGCAGGCUAGAGUCUUGUAGAGGGGGGUAGAAUUCCAGGUGUAGCGGUGAAAUGCGUAGAGAUCUGGAGGAAUACCGGUGGCGAAGGCGGCCCCCUGGACAAAGACUGACGCUCAGGUGCGAAAGCGUGGGGAGCAAACAGGAUUAGAUACCCCUGUAGUCCCAUG
RNAcentral lists this ribosomal RNA (474 nucleotides) under uncultured organism. Its description in RNAcentral is "partial 16S ribosomal RNA". It matches the Rfam family "Bacterial small subunit ribosomal RNA", at positions 334 to 799 of the family's 1533-position model. The record is from RNAcentral.